Long non-coding RNA from Oreochromis aureus, 961 nucleotides. NCBI's taxonomy places the organism in Eukaryota, Metazoa, Chordata, Actinopteri, Cichliformes, Cichlidae. The record is from Ensembl.
CCGAUGUCCUGCUGGCACAAAAUAAACACACUCUGAGAGUUUCUAGCUUGACCAAACAGAUGUUUCCAUAUAAUGAUUAUUAUGGAUAUAUUAUUUCUGACUUUCACUGUCUGCUGUGUUUCCUGGAUUUCUGAGCAAAGACAAGAAAAAAGUGCAGUCUGUCCUUGUGGAGUUUCUUAGUUUGAUUCAGUGAGAAGAGUCUGGAAGAGCAGCUGAGGAGGAGCAGGAAGGAGGAGGGAGGAGCAGGAACUAGCAGUAGUUUCACUUUGUCAAAAGGAGGACUGCAGCUCACCUGUGGACUCCACCAUGAUUGUUUGACUAUAAAAAGAGAAACUGUGUCUCUGCUGCUCCGAACUAUUCACACUUGAAUGAGAACAUGAAGUGACGCUGCAGUGGAUCUUCCCUCAUCCUUAAAGUGCAGCUGUGGAUAAUCUGUUGAAGGUAUUCAUCACCACUCGUCCAGUUAAACUCUUUGUGCGUAAAUUCCACUAAGAAGCCAUCGUCCACGCCGCCUUCAUAGUAGAGAAAACCCGGGUUAACCGUGACAUCACUACUGUGGAGAAGAUGAACUUUAUCACUGCUAAGAUACUUUAGGAACUUCUCCUUGAGUUAAACACCUGCCGUCCUCAUCUGCCAUCUCUGAGUUUCUCCCGCUGACCUUAUGUUCCAGAACCCACAUAUUUCAUGUCAUCUGGUGGAGCUUUAUCAAAGAUGUGUCAGCUUCAGUGUGAAAUAUGAUGCUGUUGACUAAAUCACAAGAAACCCAAGACCCAGCCUGUUUGUUUGAGGGAUAAUUAGAUGCCAACUGAAUCAGAGUAAACUCAGCUUCUCUGGGAUCUUUACAAAAUAAGCUCAUUAUGAGACUCUGAUGUUGAAACCCACAGAAAAGAGAAGAUGGAUGCUGUGAAAAUAUCCUGCUGGACUCUGGAGUGUGUCUGCCUCCUGCUGUCUGUAACUGCAG